This is a non-coding RNA of Musa acuminata subsp. malaccensis (wild Malaysian banana), 662 nucleotides long. The record is from RefSeq and is a predicted model, not a curated record. NCBI's taxonomy places the organism in Eukaryota, Viridiplantae, Streptophyta, Magnoliopsida, Zingiberales, Musaceae.
UCUACCUCUCUCUCCGGACGUCCCCCCGCCCUCGAAGAGAUUGAGCAGCCGCUACUGUUCCAUUGGAUCGAUUCUGGGGUUUGAGAUCUACAUCGUGUGGACCCGUCCAGAUUCAAACAAAUGAAAAUGGCUGUUCCUCUCGCCAGUCUGUGGGAUUGCACCGAGGAAAAGUGAUCCAAGCACAGAGAGAGAGAGAGAGAGACCGACGCAGUCCCCCACCUACCAACACUCGCAAAAAGGGGGAGGAGCUCACGCGAGCCCACUGCACAUGUCAAAAGUAGCUUCUUCGUCUUCGGCUCCUUUUCACAGUGGCUGGACUUACUACGCUGCAGCAGCGUCGACAGGUGGUCGGCCCUUUUUUGCUUUCCAACCGAUGCCUGCCAUCUUCUUGGCAAACAUCGCAGUUGCCUAUGCGUUGGGGCGUCGCUGAAAUGACUCCUCCGCUCUCGUUGGUCAUUCCACACUCGUCUCUAUCAUUCUUAUUCUUGUGUUCGUGGAAGAAGCUUAAUCCUACCCCGAUCACCAUGCUUCCAUCUGUGAACGUUAUUACUAUGCGAAGCUUGGAAUAUUCGUAGAUAUGGGGAUGCAGGAUUGUGUUUGUGGGGGUGGGGGGGGGAAGAGGACCUUUGUAUUAAGAACAUAAUCUAAAAAUAUUUAGUUAA